This 406-nucleotide ribosomal RNA is filed under the name uncultured bacterium. RNAcentral's name for it is "partial 16S ribosomal RNA". It matches the Rfam family "Bacterial small subunit ribosomal RNA", at positions 29 to 526 of the family's 1533-position model. The record is from RNAcentral.
AAUGAACGCUGGUGGCAGGCCUAACACAUGCAAGUCGAACGAGUGGCGGACGGGUGAGUAAGGGAGGGGAAAGUGCACGAUGGAGGGGGAUAAAUACUGGAAACGGUAGCUAAUACCGCAUAACAUCGGAUGUGCUGUACUUGGAUUAGAGAGUGGGUGGGGUAACGGCGCACCGAGGCGACGAUGCCGAGCUGGUCGGAGAGGGUGACCUGCCACACUGGGACUGAGACACGGUCCAGACUCCGACGGGAGGCAGGAGUGUGGAAUCUUGGACAAUGGGCGCAAGCCUGACGCAGCAACGCCGCGUGAGUGAAGAAGGCCUUCGGGUUGUAAAGUACUUUCAUCAAAGAGGCGUUACUCGCACAAGAAGCAUCGGCUAACUCCGUGCCAGCCGCCGCGGUAAUAC